This is a non-coding RNA of Pyrenochaeta sp. MPI-SDFR-AT-0127, 85 nucleotides long. NCBI's taxonomy places the organism in Eukaryota, Fungi, Ascomycota, Dothideomycetes, Pleosporales, Cucurbitariaceae. The record is from the annotation of a GenBank genome assembly.
CUCCCCUUAGUGAAGUGGUUAUCACGUUCGACUGUAAUAUCAAUUGUGUUCGAAAGGUCCCAUGGUUCGACUCCUGGAGGGGAGA